Molecule: ribosomal RNA, 239 nt
Filed under: uncultured bacterium
Lineage: Bacteria
Description: partial 16S ribosomal RNA
Rfam family: Bacterial small subunit ribosomal RNA
Source: RNAcentral
GACCCUACGGGGGGCAGCAGUGGGGAAUAUUGGGCAAUGGGCGCAAGCCUGACCCAGCAACGCCGCGUGAAGGAAGAAGGCCCUCGGGUUGUAAACUUCUUUUAUUCGGGACGAAACAAAUGACGGUACCGAAUGGAUAAGCCACGGCUAACUACGUGCCAGCAGCCGCGGUAAUACGUAGGUGGCAAGCGUUAUCCGGAUUUACUGGGUGUAAAGGGAGCGUAGACGGCAGUGCAAGU